RNAcentral lists this ribosomal RNA (375 nucleotides) under uncultured bacterium. RNAcentral's name for it is "bacterial SSU rRNA". It matches the Rfam family "Bacterial small subunit ribosomal RNA", at positions 524 to 898 of the family's 1533-position model. The record is from RNAcentral.
UACAGAGGUGGCGAGUGUUGUUCGGAUUUACUGGGCGUAAAGGGUCCGCAGGCGGCUUUGUGUGUCAGAUGUGAAAUCCCACGGCUCAACCGUGGAAUGGCAUUUGAAACUACAGAGCUAGAGUACAGGAGAGGAUAGGGGAAUUCAUGGUGUAGCGGUGAAAUGCGUAGAUAUCAUGAAGAACACCGGUGGCGAAAGCGCCUAUCUGGACUGAUACUGACGCUCAUGGACGAAAGCCAGGGGAGCAAAGAGGAUUAGAUACCCUCGUAGUCCUGGCCAUAAACGGUGCGCACUUGAUGUGGGAGGUUUACCCCCUCCCGUGUCGAAGCUAACGCGUUAAGUGCGCCGCCCGGGAAGUACGGCCGCAAGGUUAAA